UUAGAGUUUGAUCCAUGGCUCAGGACGAACGCUGGCGGCGUGCUUAACACAUGCAAGUCGAACGGAAAGGCCCUUCGGGGUACUCGAGUGGCGAACGGGUGAGUAACACGUGGGUGAUCUGCCCUGCACUUUGGGAUAAGCCUGGGAAACUGGGUCUAAUACCGAAUACACCCUUCUGGCUGCAUGGUCUGGUUGGGGAAAGCUUUUGCGGUGUGGGAUGGGCCCGCGGCCUAUCAGCUUGUUGGUGAGGUUACGGCUCACCAAGGCGACGACGGGUAGCCGGCCUGAGAGGGUGACCGGCCACACUGGGACUGAGAUACGGCCCAGACUCCUACGGGAGGCAGCAGUGGGGAAUAUUGCACAAUGGGCGCAAGCCUGAUGCAGCGACGCCGCGUGAGGGAUGACGGCCUUCGGGUUGUAAACCUCUUUCGCCAGGGACGAAGCGCAAGUGACGGUACCUGGAGAAGAA
This 469-nucleotide ribosomal RNA is filed under the name Mycolicibacterium austroafricanum. RNAcentral describes it as "bacterial SSU rRNA". It matches the Rfam family "Bacterial small subunit ribosomal RNA", at positions 1 to 489 of the family's 1533-position model. The record is from RNAcentral. Lineage: Bacteria; Bacillati; Actinomycetota; Actinomycetes; Mycobacteriales; Mycobacteriaceae.